RNAcentral lists this ribosomal RNA (633 nucleotides) under Shiraia bambusicola. RNAcentral's name for it is "eukaryotic LSU rRNA". It matches the Rfam family "Eukaryotic large subunit ribosomal RNA", at positions 1 to 648 of the family's 3401-position model. Lineage: Eukaryota; Fungi; Ascomycota; Dothideomycetes; Pleosporales; Shiraiaceae. The record is from RNAcentral.
UUGACCUCGGAUCAGGUAGGGAUACCCGCUGAACUUAAGCAUAUCAAUAAGCGGAGGAAAAGAAACCAACAGGGAUUGCCCUAGUAACGGCGAGUGAAGCGGCAACAGCUCAAAUUUGAAAUCUGUCUCUUUUAGAGUCCGAGUUGUAAUUUGCAGAGGGCGCUUUGGCGUUGGCAGCGGUCCAAGUUCUUUGGAACAGGACGUCACAGAGGGUGAGAAUCCCGUACGUGGUCGCUGGCCUUCGCCGUGUAAAGCCCCUUCGACGAGUCGAGUUGUUUGGGAAUGCAGCUCUAAAUGGGAGGUAAAUUUCUUCUAAAGCUAAAUACUGGCCAGAGACCGAUAGCGCACAAGUAGAGUGAUCGAAAGAUGAAAAGCACUUUGGAAAGAGAGUCAAAUAGCACGUGAAAUUGUUGAAAGGGAAGCGCUUGCAGCCAGACUUAUCUGUAGUUGCUUAUCUGGACUUUUGUCCAGUGCACUCUUCUAUAGGUAGGCCAGCAUCAGUUUAGGCGGUUGGAUAAAGGUCUCUGUCACGUACCUCUCUUCGGGGAGGCCUUAUAGGGGAGACGUCAUGCAACCAGCCUGGACUGAGGUCCGCGCAUCUGCUAGGAUGCUGGCGUAAUGGCUGUAAGCGGC